CUGGUUGAUCCUGCCAGUAGUCAUAUGCUUGUCUCAGAGAUUAAGCCAUGCAUGUCUAAGUACAAACCUUCAAACGGUGAAACCGCGAAUGGCUCAUUAAAUCAGCUAUGGUUCCUUGGAUCGUACAUACUACAUGGAUAACUGUAGUAAUUCUAGAGCUAAUACAUGCCACUAUGCCCUGACCCGCAAGGGAACGGGUGGAUUUAUUAGAACAGAACCAACCGGCGGUGACUUCGGUUGCUGUCGUUGCAUUCUGUGAUGACUCUGGAUAACUUUACUGAUCGCAGUCGGCCUUGUGUCGAUAUAUAUAUAUAUAUAUAGCUAAAAGCCCUUUCAGAUCCCAUUUGCCCGACUGCACGACUAAAAAUAAAUCCAAUUUAACUCUCCUUCAAAUCAGCCGAUCUUUCUGCAUCCCAUGUUAUUUGUCAGUUCAUUUGCAGAUGCACGUGUUUUGGCGGGACAAACCGCCGUUUCUCUCGAAGAAUAUUUGAACACAUAAGAUUGCUUGAUACACACGGUGAGACAACAGUAACCUCGACUCGGAACCUAGCAUGACCGAUUGCAGGGCACCAGUUGACAACAAGUAAUUCCGUGGUCCCCAGACCAUCAUUCUCAUUUACAAUAAGCAUGGUGUUUAGGCUAAAACAGCCGAUUUUGUGCACACUAGCUUUUGUCGUCCAAAAUUUCUGUCUGCCUCAGAGCGUAUCUCGUAAACUCAAAGUAACAAGGCGUUUGGGUAGAGAGGAGAUGGCAGUUAAAAAGUAACCGUAUCCAACUGACUCAGGGAGAGUAAAUUAAGCAGGUGAAAACCACAGUGUGAACGGAUGGUGACUAGUCAGUCUUUACCAUUAUUUGGUUUAGUCACAGAAGGUCACCCCCACCAACAGGAUAAACUCAACACUCUAAAAUGCACAGAGUAUAUGAGUGGAUCAUUCGCACACCCAAUGAGGACAACCUAGUGACUGAAACCUUCAGUACCCGUUUCGGGUAGCUGCAGAUCUGCCUCACAAAUUACCGGGACCCAGGUUAAGCCCGUAUGACACUCCACCAAGGAAAGCCAUUUCUAGCAGCAUUAAAGUGGUUAAAAUGGAAACGCUUUGCUGAGACAAAGCUUAUCGGCCCAUAUGGAAAAGACCAGAAGUGGAAUUUAGUGGCACCUGUUUCGGAUGGCUGGAUGAUCUGUAUAUUCGAGAAACGACACUCUUAAGGCACGGUUAGCCGUGGUUUGGUCUAUUUUAGUACACAACGCUGGCCUCGAAAUGUUAGUUCUAGCACCACUGCAGGUUAAGCUGCCUGAUACUCUUAGGUAGCUAGCUGCUCGAAUGUGACUAUAAGUAACAGACAUCUGUCACCAGUUCAAGUUACCUUUAAACCACCCGUAACCGGCGGCAAAUUUCAAUCUAGGAAGACCGCUCCGCAAGCUAUUUGUCCGGCUUCACUUGUUAUAUAUCUGUUCACCUGUUGUUACGGUGACAUCUACAGACCUAACCAACCUCUCUCACGGAAAGUGGCCUACCACCGUCCAAAAAUUUCUUGCGAGCCAACCAGAUAUUGCCACACACACUGCGGUCGAUCACGCGAACUACGAGUUCAUCGAUCGCCCGCUAUCUUAUUGAGACAGGUGAGUUAUGUGACCCUUACGGUUCGCUCUCGGUCUCGCUGCGCAAGUCGAAUCUAAAAUUUCCAACAUUUAACGAAGCCAUAAUAUUCAGCCAUAUGGGGCGGAUCUGGUGCACGCAGAGUGUAUCGAUCAGGAACUCGUUUCUACACUGGAACUAGCCUUGAACCUCUCCAUCCUUGUAAACAGAUGCCACUUUUCCUAGUAUUUGUUUCUUUACCCCUUUCAUAUAAGUGCAGUAUGGUUAACGCUCCACAAAGAUGGAAAGCAAAUGAAUGUUUACAUCUCGCGACUUAUGUCUUCUUGCCGUCCUACGGAAAUCUAUUAAGAGAUGUUUGGUGAGGGUGAUUGGUAAUUGCCUAUUCCCGACCGUCACCACAGCUGUUUGCCUUUCAAGCUAGGAUCCUUAGGUGGGAAUAUUCUACCCAGUAAACAGGUUUUUGUUGAUGUAUUUCAAGAUAAAACCUAUUCUGUUCCAUCAUUUCAGACGGUGACAUCUGUGUACUGAAUUCAAACAUUUCUGAUAACGUUUACCUGAACAAUGGCAACAUGAAGAGCAAACUGUCAUAAUUCUAUGCAGAAAAUAUGUUAUAUAAGGUCAGAGACUUAGUCUGGUGCCAGCAGCCGCGGUAACUCCAGCUCCAGAAGCGUAUAUUAAAGUUGUUGCAGUUAAAAAGCUCGUAGUUGGAUCUGGGUCGCAUGGCUACAUGCCGUUGCUCGUAUUCCUGGCCUGGUUCACACCGGGACGGGUUUGUGAGUCGGUGUCGUGGUUGUGCAGCCUUUCUGCCGUGUCUGUUUCGACAGGUGUUAGCAUGAUUGGUGGCUUCUGAUGGUUCUGGUGGGUGUGCUGAUCUGUUGACAUGCUUCCAGGUGCCCUUAACCGGGUGUCCGGGGCGGACGUUUACUUUGAACAAAUUUGAGUGCUCAAAGCAGGCCCGUGUGCCUGAAAAUUCUUGCCUGGAACAAUGGAAUAGGAUUUCGAUUAUAUUUUGUUGGUUUUCGGAUCCGAAGUAAUGGUUAAAAGGGACAGACGGUGGCAUUUGUAUGGCGGUUUUAGAGGUGAAAUUCUUGGAUCACCGCCAGACAAACUACAGCGAAAGCAUUUGCCAAGGAUGUUUUCAUUGAUCUGGAGCGAAAGUCAGAGGUUCGAAGACGAUCAGAUACCGUCCUAGUUCUGACCAUAAACGAUGCCAACUGACGAUCCGUGGUGGCGCGAUUAUUGGCCCCGCGGGCAGCCCCCGGGAAACCUUUAAGUCUUUGGGCUCCG
Molecule: non-coding RNA, 2885 nt
Filed under: Clonorchis sinensis
Lineage: Eukaryota; Metazoa; Platyhelminthes; Trematoda; Opisthorchiida; Opisthorchiidae
Description: Eukaryotic small subunit ribosomal RNA
Rfam family: Eukaryotic small subunit ribosomal RNA (bases 2013-2885)
Source: Rfam by way of RNAcentral